RNAcentral lists this ribosomal RNA (401 nucleotides) under uncultured bacterium. Its description in RNAcentral is "bacterial SSU rRNA". It matches the Rfam family "Bacterial small subunit ribosomal RNA", at positions 358 to 774 of the family's 1533-position model. The record is from RNAcentral.
GGAAUAUUGCACAAUGGGCGAAAGCCUGAUGCAGCGACGCCGCGUGAGUGAUCGAAGUAUUUCGGUAUGUAAAGCUCUAUCAGCAGGGAAGAACAAUGACGGUACCUGACUAAGAAGCUCCGGCUAAAUACGUGCCAGCAGCCGCGGUAAUACGUAUGGAGCAAGCGUUAUCCGGAUUUACUGGGUGUAAAGGGAGCGUAGGCGGCGGCCUAAGUCUGAUGUGAAAACCCGGGGCUCAACUCCGGGAUUGCAUUGGAAACUGGGCAGCUGGAGUGUCGGAGAAGCAGGCGGAAUUCCCAGUGUAGCGGUGAAAUGCAUAGAUAUUGGGAGGAACACCAGUGGCGAAGGCGGCCUGCUGGACGAUAACUGACGCUGAGGCUCGAAAGCGUGGGGAGCAAACA